CGGCAACAGCUCAAAUUUGAAAUCUGGCCCCUAGGGUCCGAGUUGUAAUUUGCAGAGGAUGCUUUUGACAAGGUGCCUUCCGAGUUCCCUGGAACAGGACGUCAUAGAGGGUGAGAAUCCCGUAUGUGACUAGAUGCCUAAGUUUAUGUGAAGCUCCUUCGAC
This 163-nucleotide ribosomal RNA is filed under the name Hypocreales sp. Its description in RNAcentral is "partial large subunit ribosomal RNA". It matches the Rfam family "Eukaryotic large subunit ribosomal RNA", at positions 99 to 261 of the family's 3401-position model. The record is from RNAcentral. Lineage: Eukaryota; Fungi; Ascomycota; Sordariomycetes; Hypocreales.